This 62-nucleotide transfer RNA is filed under the name Ictidomys tridecemlineatus (thirteen-lined ground squirrel). Its description in RNAcentral is "Spermophilus tridecemlineatus (thirteen-lined ground squirrel) tRNA". It matches the Rfam family "tRNA". Rfam says of the family: Transfer RNA (tRNA) molecules are approximately 80 nucleotides in length. Their secondary structure includes four short double-helical elements and three loops (D, anti-codon, and T loops). Lineage: Eukaryota; Metazoa; Chordata; Mammalia; Rodentia; Sciuridae. The record is from Rfam by way of RNAcentral.
GGGAAUGUGACUCAGGGAUAGGGUGUCUGCCUGACAUGCACAAGGCCUUGGUUCCAUUCCCA